Triticum aestivum (bread wheat) is the source of this 9225-nucleotide long non-coding RNA. RefSeq lists it as uncharacterized. The transcript is spliced from 3 exons. NCBI's taxonomy places the organism in Eukaryota, Viridiplantae, Streptophyta, Magnoliopsida, Poales, Poaceae. The record is from RefSeq and is a predicted model, not a curated record.
ACCUCAGAGAGAGCCACCCAGCCGCCGUCAUCGCCGAACCACCGAUCCGUUCGCAUCAGGUGACGACCGGAUCCGCCGUCGCCGUCGGCGGCAUCCGAACCCGGCGAGUUACGCAUACGCUGCUUCUUCUCCACGCUAUCCGCCCGUUUAUUUUCCUACUUCUGGUUCCUUGCCGCGAGAUUUAGAUUGCAUCUGCCGUAUUUGUUUUGUUCUCGGGAGCAUCCGUGAUGUUACAUCCACUUAACUCAUCCUUGCACUUUGAGUCUCGGCAGUGAAGAAAAACAUUGGGGAAUUUGUAGUCUGAGAUGCUCUCAUGUUCUUGCUUUUGUUUAGAUCUGUCUGCCUUUUUUUCCCCGUGGAUUUGCGUUGCUUCAAGUCGUGGAUCCCUGAUGUUAUUGUUUACUGCGUUAUCUUUCUCGAACUUCUAAGUAAUGAGGAAAGCAUUACCUACUGAGAUCCAAGGCACGCUUGACGUUUUGUUUUCUAUGAUCAACUUUUUUCCUCUCUGGGCAAUACUAGCUGUUUACUUCAUUGUUUCUUUCGAUUUUUUUUGUUUCGUUUCUGAUAUUUCUUUGAAUUUUCUGUGCUUCGUCAUCUGGUCAUUGGGAGGAUCAGUCUGAUCGGUUUCCAGUGGACUCGUUCCCUUGAAGCAACAUUAACCUGUUGUAUCCUGAGCUACCUACUUUGUGCCCUAGGAUGUGUCUCUCCAAAGGGCGCCGUGGCUCUUACAUACAUAUCCUAAUUAUAAUUAAUAUGUCACUCUACUCUGCUUAUUUGAUUGAAUCGACUUACUGAUGAUUUGGUGAUUUGAUAUCUUUCUCUACUGUAGUUCUAUUUGGUUUUAUGUGUUUUUCUUCUUUUUAGUUUCUGUUUAGAGAUAGUGUUCACAAUUAUUCGGAUGGAAGUGAGGAUCCUUUCCCCAGCUGAUCGACAAUGAUUGUACUGUGCGCAAAUGUUAUCCUUUAUCAGAGGAUUCCAAGCCAGAAAUCUGAUCCAUCCACUUCAAAAAUAUCUCUUAUGUUUUCUUAACGGCCCUUUAUCUUUGUUAGUAUUUUCAUUGGCAUAUUUCGAAUGGAAAUUUCAGUGUCAAUUCAAAUUUGAUUAAUAUUGUGGUGUGCACAUGAUGAGAAACCAUAUGCAACUCACGACGGUCGUCUGAGACACUCUGUGUGUAAUGGUGCAUUCAUAUGUUAUCUGAUGCCUAUUCUGUUUCUUCAGUUUGUUGGUGAUUUAGGUUCUCCCGUGGCUUCAGUUUCUUUGUUUCAGGAGUUGAUUGCAUUUCUUUUUCAUUCAUACAACUUGUAAUGUGGCACCCGGUAGCAGUUGGAAGCAAGCAAAAGAGAUUUGUAGCUGCGCAGCCGUUAGCCUAGAAGAGAUUUGGCCCAGUCUUAGGUCGGCUUUGUUGUAGUUAUGAGGAUGAUGAUUUCAAAUUUGUCGCCCCAGUCUUAGGGUCCGCUUAGGUGGAUCUGUGCUGAUUGACAUACUACUUAAUCUGACCUGGCAAAUCUAAGUUUGAACAGUUGUUUGAUUUUCUUUACUUAAAUUCCUAGUGAUGGCAGUGACGAUUUGCAAAUAUUCAAGCUCAACAGACCAAAUCACAGGUUUUCUCUCAAGAGUUGAUUUGUAUGCCGAUUAUCCCGCUGAACUGAGCCAUCUGAUAUCCUUUAUUUUUAAUGUGCGGUUCAUUGUUCGUUUCCUUUUGGAGAGUGGUUGUGAUGAGGAGAACAAGCUCCCUCUUCUGAAAGCAUUGACGACAUUGCUGGCACAAUCGAACGAAUUAAUAAUUGCCACCGCUGAGCAACUACAUCUCCAAUCUUUUUGGUUGUUAUUUUUGCUUUUCAAUUUAGAUGAUCUAUUUGUAUUGUGAGGAUUUAUUGAUGCAUAAUAACACUUGAUCUUGAGGGGUUGACAUGAGUUGGCUGUUAUGUCAUCUUCGCAACUGAAUCCAUUAGAGAUCAGUUUUUUAUUAUUUAUUUUCUUCUUGAUUUUGUCAGUGUCAUGUGAUGAAAACUUAUUCUAUCUUAGGACACCUUCUGACACAGUGCUGAUUUCCUGUGGAUGAGAAGGCUUUUAUAUUCUGAUGAUACGCUAUAUUUCUUGGGCACUAUCUUAGUUUUGUGUUUUUGGCUAGUGUGCAGCCUUUUCUUUCACACUAGUGACCUGUAAUUUAAUUCAAGCCUAUGAUGAUUAGCUUUAUGUUGGAAUUACCGUCUGAUUCUGAAUGACGAUAUUUUUGCGGCUUUCUGAGGCAUAAAGCGGAGAGCUCAAUACUUUUUCUUAUUUAAUUGUAUUGUUAUUUUUUUUCAGCUUAAAUUAUCCCAAUGAAGAUUCUUAGACCAGGACGUGCCGUAUGACACAGUAAACAACAGCUGUUACUCACCACUGCAUGUGUCCUCCUUUGGCUAUAACCUUUGUGGUUUGGUCAGGGCUGGAAUAUCCAUUUGCACCUGGUUUGGUUCAUCUGUGUGCAUGAUUUUAAAUGGGUCUCUGAGGGAUUCUGUUGUAAUUGUUUAAUCUGUUCUGUGUGAUAGGAAACCUGAGUCUAUUUUGGUUGGUAUACACUCUCCAGAGCUGGUUAUUGUGGUUGAUAUACUUUUGUAGUGGCUGGUUGGUAAACACUCUCCACAUCUGGUUAUUGUGGUUGAUAUAUUUUUGUAGUGUCUGACAAGUUCUAGUCAAUAUGAUUUGGUCAGUUUUGGGGACAAGUUACGGUGAUGAUGAUAAAUUUAAGGUUGUUUCUCAAAACAUUCGCAGAUGCCGCCUAAGAGCUUUCGCCAAGCCAGGCUUGAGAGCUAAUGCUGCUAAUUCCUUCCUUGGAUGUCUGAGCCUUAUUAAUAUCCUUGCUUUGUUGUCUUCCGUUUGAUUGUCUUAUCUUGUUUUAUGUGGGCAGCGCUGUUUCAACGCUUGGCUGCUGUUCUUGCAUCCAAGUUUACAACGCUCCUGAGAUGUAUUCAGGUGGUGCUUAGAGCACAAAUCCGUCCAGAUGGAUCUUGGGUUACGCUCGCCCCCAAAUUCGAGUUUAAUCUCUGUUUUUGUUGCAUUAUGUUGUCUGUAAUUAUAGUGGAAUCUGAGAAUAUUUCUUCUGGUUUCAAUGUGUAUUAUUAUGUUGUUUCCUCUGUUUUCACUGAGAUUUUGUUUUUUGAUUCUUGAAAGAAUCUUAUGGAACAUAAAAUAUCGAUCUAAUCUUUAAUUUACUUUAGAUUGUCCAGCACUGAUAUCUCCCAUAGAAUCAAAGUAUUAGCCUGUCAGAGUGUUGUUUUUUAUGUUUGAUGGAAACUUGCAUUUCCAUUUGCUAGUUAAACUCAGCUUAGACGCCAACCGCAUUUCAACAGCAUUUCAGGUAGAAAACUCUGGAGCACUGUUCUGUUCAGUUUUUGUGGACUGUAUCAGACAAUGUAUCAGACAACAGUACAACCUGUCUACUCCUUUUCUGUGAGUGGCGUUGCUCUGUUUUGAAGCAUUGGUUUCUAUAAAUCAGUCCAUAAAAUGUACUUCAUGUUGUUGAAAUAGAGAUGAUGUAAUGAUAUUUUUGCAGUUGCUGGUUUGGUUAUCUACGCUGAUAAAUUUCACUACUUGAAGUUCUUAUUUCACAAUCAUAACAGCUUGCAAUUUGUUUGUCUGGAAUAAGUUAUGUUCUGCCAUGAAAUAACAAGUAGUCAGGACCGGAAAUAGAACUAAAAUGGAUCAUUUAUGCUUGUCUUGUGAGCACAAUACUCUGAUCUGGGUUGUACUGAGAGCAUAUCAUUGAUGCUGUCCAUUUGUGAGCAUAUCUGUCAAUUGGAAAUCAGUGUAAUGUAGUGCAGGUGGCAAAGGAGAUCAAUUGAACUAUCAAACUGAACUGGCUAAACGUAUGAGAGAUCAAUGAAGGAAUUGUAGUGCAGGAGGAGAUUAAAUAAAUUAACUGAAGCAAACUGGUACAUAAAACUAAAUUAAAAGUCAAAGGAGAUCAACUAAUCUUACUGGAUUGAACUAUGGCCCAAAAUAAACACUUGACAUAAUGGAAAUGUUCUAGAUGCUUGCUUCUUUAGGAUCACUCAAGUACAUCACCAAAACCCCGUAAGAACAUCAUCUAUGAUUGGUUCAUGUGAAUUAAGUAAAAAAGUAAGAUUUUUCACAUUACCAUAUCCUUGGUUUCUAAAGAAACUAUGAGAAAUAUUACCAGUUGAUUUCUAAAGUAUUACACGACUUCCCAUUGUCCCUAGAAACACAGUUAAACUGUCGCACAAAGGGCGCCCUUUUACCGUGUGAGGUGAAAAAAAAACUGAAGGAGAGAAAAAAAAGAGAGAAAUGAAUCGUCCUCCUUUCCCAUUCACCAUUCACAACCGCCUUGAUUCCUCCCCCUCCCUCAUGGCCACGGUGGCGCGAGCGCUCUGAUGCUGGUUCAAGCUGCUUGAGGCGGCUCUUACCCUUGUGCCGACGCAAUGGACAAGGUGCCCUCUCCAUCACUUCUGCGUGUGUGUUUAAUUUGGAGUUGGUCCUCUGUUCACAAAGAUCCCUCCAUUCUCUGUUGCAGGAGAACAUAUACCUCUGUUAGUGGAGCAGCCCCCCUAGCCCUUCUUCAGCCAUGGAGGAGCGAAUCCCCCUUCUUAUCCCCUUAUGUGAUGUGUGCCUCUGCUUGUAGAGGCGUGGAGAAUUUUUGAGUGUAUGUUGGCCAUUGAGGCAUGGCAAUUUCUAAAGUGUUAUCCUACUGGCAUGCCACAUCUUUUAGUACUCGGAGAGUUUUAUCUACCGUGAGGAUUUUUGCGUUAUUUAUAUAAUCUACACUUCCUAUAGUUAAUUCCUGACAAUCAGGUUGCUGUUAAACUUUUCUUCAUAUAAGAGAAAAGGUUGUUUCUACAUUUGCAUCCAAUCCAACAUUGAAUUAAAAAAAAUGUGCAUCUUAUUUGGUUAUUGGCCUUUCUAAAUUAAAAAAUGUGCAUAUUUAUGUAUUUAAGAAAAGGAUAUGUGCAUGGUACCGAACAUGAGAAAAACACUGUUGACCAUAUCUCGAAUCAAGCAUGUUUUUUUUUUGAGAAAAUGCUGCAUUUCAUUAUAUUGAAAAGAGAGAUAGCUAAUUAGAGAACAAAACACUAUGGCGGCAAAUGAGAUUAUCGAGCUGUUCUACGAACUGAUUGUUACAUGGCUUCCGAUCAUUGCCAAGCAGAAGUAUCUUGCAACAUUUCCUUGCCUUCAGAAUUGACUGUACAGAAAACUAGGACCUAAACUUGUGCUACUGGCCAACCAUUUCUUCAGGGAAUGCCGAGCGGACCUGAAAGAAGGUAUCUGCAGUUUGAUAUUUGCAGCCCCAAGGUGCUCUGAAUUCCCUGAACUCAGUCGGAUGUGGGACCUUCUUGAAAAGAAGUAUGGGAAAGAUUUUGUUGCUGCUGCAGUUGAUCUGCGCACAAAUGCUGGUGUCAAUACUUUGUAAGGCUAAUUGAGGAAGUUGUCAGUCAUCUCUGGACUACACUAUCAAGUUCCAAAGCGAAGAUUUGUGCAAACAGUACAAGUGUGUCUAAGAUUAUGAGCAGUAUCAAUACUUCAACUUGACAUGAUUUAAGAUGCUAAUCCUAUUCUAGAUAAAUUUUCCAGUGGAAGCUCACAAGAAUCUAUUCUUUGUCAAUGGAAGGUAGACAAUUUCCUCAGACCUGUCUGGAGACACCUGAAUUUACAAUUAAACUAUUCUAUGUUGCUUAUUAUUUCAUCUUCUAUCUACACGUUGCAAAUUUAUGUUGAGGAGCUUCACACAGAAUUGGUAUAUCCCAUAAUAAUUAAUUUGUAUUGCUCAAAGAAAGGCUCGGGUUUUUUUUCACUAGCACAGAUGAGCAUCAGCUAAUGGUUCAUGUGAAUCAGGCUAAUGUACCAAGAACAACUACACCUUUUACAUGUUGAAGACGGGGUGUAACUUGUUCGACUAUAUUUUCUGCGUUCCCUGCAUCUGCUGCUUUGUACCUUGACAGGGAAUCAAGAAUUGUCCCCACCUACAAAUUUAUCAAACAUGAUAAGCAGUUAAGAACCCAAAGCAAGAACUACAUCAUACUCUGUGCAUCCAUUCAGAGCAGUCAGAAGCUUUGUCAAUGUAUAUCUUUGUAAUCUCAAAGAUCGGAUGAACACUGCUGCGUUGAAUCUCUGCAAGAGCAGCAACAACAUUUGCAACCACCAUAGCAUUAUUUUCAAAAAUUAAGUCUGAGGGCCUCUAGAAAUCCUCUGCCUCCAGUAGCUCAGCAUUUAUAUCAUGUACUAAACUCUCCAGUUUAGUUUUCGCGGAUAUAAGAUAAUAUGGUAUGUAAUCAAGAGAUUCAUUUUAAAUUUGGAUUGUUCACAUGUUUACUGAAAGCAUAUAUGCUCUAUUAUGUGGAGUUGAUUUUUCUCUUUUUAGCACCAUCUAUCUUGGAAUUAGAUUUGAUACUAUAAGAAUAUAAUGAUGACUAUUUCUUGAUGGGUACUUGCUGCAUGAUUUUUCCAGUGCAUGUCCAAGUCUACAUGUGAAAGGAUCUUGCUUGAUUCCGUUCUACUGGAGAUUAUGGAGUGUAAUUCUUCAGAUGCAGAAAUGUCACAUUUUGCUGAGGGUUCCGAGAGUACAAUACAAGCCAAAAUCAAGACUUUGGAUUCUCAAACAUACAAUUUGCAUGUGAAUAAAUAUGUAAGUUUGCUAUGCAUGAUCCUAUCACAAACUAUGGUUACAAGUUUCUCUCUGGGAACUCAUGAUGUGUUGUUUGCAUUAUUUGUGUGAUUUUCUGUUGUACUCUGUAAAAACUUGGCUGUUUCCAUGCAAUAUUUAUUCAUAAUCAGUCUGAUUCCUGCGACGUCCUCCUGUUUUUUCAGUGAAAUUACUGUUGUAUUCUGAUUUUGACAAGAAAUUUACAGAUAACUGUAUAGCAAAUUUCCACUAUUCCCAUAAGUAAUUUUGAGAACACACCAGUACAUCCAUAUUUCAUAAGCAAUGUGUUAGUUGGAUGCCAUUUAGUAUUAUGCCUUUAUGCGGAACAUUAAGAGUUACAUGAGUUGGCACCUGAUGUGCUGGAUAUUCCUGUCAUAAGUUCAACAUGAUUUGCCUUUUAGUUUUUUUCUGACAAUCUCUUGAUAGAGCUUUGUUUCAUUUUUUUCUAAGUUAAAGACGGAUAUAUAUAGUGUUGUUGUGCUCAUUGUCUAGGAAACUGUUAUGUUGAAAACAUUUUAUACUGAUUUGAUGUGGCAAAUUUACUUGUAGAUAAAUACAUGUUGUCUGGUCCAAAUACUGAUUUAUUUGAUGUGAACGAAGAUGGUUUGGGUGGCAAUCCAAACUUUUUUGGAUACUCUGAAAACACCAGGAAUGAUGUAUUGCCAGCACUUGAGAGGAAAACAGGAGGUUCUGGUUCUAUUUCUGCUCUUAAGGAACUACUGGCCGUUUGACUCUCUGCUCAUUAAACUGGUAGUGUAUAAGAUGUGCGAAACAUUUUGCAGUGCACUCCCAUAAUAUAAGAGCGUUUUUGACACUACACUAGUGUAAAAAAUGCUCUUAUAUUAUGGGACGGAGGGAGUAGUUUUUUAAGCUGGGCCAAGUCCUCUAGAUGGUUCGGGAGGCAAUGAGACUUAUGCUCAAGUCAGUUAGCAGUUUCAUUCUUCGAGUUGUUUGACCUGAUAUCUGUAGUGUUGACAUCAUACAUAAGCCGAGAGAAUGAAAUGUCUCAGAUCAUAUGAAGGUGAUUGAUCUUAGCAGAAAAAAAUAGUGAAGUACUACACUAGUGUCAAAAAACGUCUUACAUUAUGGGACGGAGGGAGUACAAUAUAUUUAUCCUGCAAUUUUAAGGAUCUCAAUGACCAUAAUAAAGGGACGUGGUAAAGCUUAUUCUGAAAGAUUACUGCGCAUUUGCCCCCAACAAGUAACUGAUUGCGCUGGGCAUUUUUAGUUCUUUUACCCCUUUCCCAGUUCAUUGGCAUGGUAUUAUGUUACCGUGCUGUCAUUAUCUGUAUUAAUGUUAAUACUUCAGAAGUGUUCAAUUUAUUUAUCAUUUUACAUAUUUAAAGGUGACUGAGGGCUGUGAUGAUGUGGACCUACCAGUUCCUAGGAAAUUAAGAUCGAUGUGCUAAUCACUGCAUUUGAUGUCUCAUACAACUAAGAAAAGGGAUAGUUUGUCCCUUUCUCUUUCCAUCUUUACGUAUUGAUUUGCAGAUUGCAUAGGAGCAUCUGUGACUAAUAGUUUUUAACAAAAAAUCUAACUUAGCUUGUCCCUGAAUAUACUAUUGAUGUUGGUGUUUCUACUCUUGGGACAUCCACGGUUCAGAUGUUCUCUUAAGCCAUUGGCAUGUAUCUUCUGUCUAAAAAAUGCUCUUUUACUUUGUUCUAAUACAAGACUUAAAGUUGCAAGUGAACUAUGGGUUCUUGUAGUCAUCGAAUUUUUUCACGAAGGACUAAGUGCUUGCUGAUACUUUGCUAGCACUAUCCCAAAUACCACCAGCUCCAGCUGACAUGGCGACGGAGCUAGAUAUCUCAAACAUAAAUAUUGCCUCAUCUUCUUGUUUAGAAGGUUGAUCAUAAUUUCCUGAUAUUGUCUAUUGCAUACUAAUAACUGAGAAUUCCUCUUCAAAUUAACCAGGCCAGUUUGCUAUGUAGCCAGCUCUUACUGAAUCGAUCUAUGUCAGCUCAUGCUCUCAAAUUGGUCAAGAGGUCAUUGUGUGUUGAGUCUUAUCUACAGAUUAAUUGUUUUGUUCAGCCCAACAGUCUUAUCCACAUAUAUCUAACCACAUUGGGAGUUCUGACAUCUUUAUAGUUGAAUUAAUCCUCAUACAUAUGGCAGGUGCAGGAGGUACAAUGUAAGCAAGCAGGGCGGUCGCGAUCAUGCUGCCCGUCGGCCUUACCACUGGAGAUUCAGGCGAGAACCGGCGCCCCCACCAUGCCUGUUGCCUGUUGGUGACGCUCACGCAGGAAUCCAGAGGCAGCACCUUGGUCUUCUCCAUGUGAACACCACCUCUCCGACGAUGCAGCCGCCAUCCGAGGGUGGCGGGACCGAUGCCACCGUCCAUGCCAUGUUCUGGCUGAUCCCCCAAGGCUCCUCACCUACGUCCAAAGGGCAGCACACAACCAAUGGUACUGCUGCCAUGACGACACCCACCUCUGUGUUGAUUGAGCUUUUCGACCUGCCCGGAAUGGACAAGGUCAUUCGGGCAUCUGAUUUUGAUGUGCCAUUUGCUCUGUUUGAUAAGAAGUCAAGUGUAGCAACAUGAACAAUUGUGUUACAGAAACUGUGCUACCAAUUGUUUGUAAUAGAU